Molecule: ribosomal RNA, 296 nt
Filed under: uncultured bacterium
Lineage: Bacteria
Description: partial 16S ribosomal RNA
Rfam family: Bacterial small subunit ribosomal RNA
Source: RNAcentral
AGUUUCCUACGGGGCGCAGCAGUAGGGAAUCUUCCACAAUGGGCGAAAGCCUGAUGGAGCAACGCCGCGUGGGUGAAGAAGGUCUUCGGAUCGUAAAACCCUGUUGUUAGAGAAGAAAGUGCGUGAGAGUAACUGUUCACGUUUCGACGGUAUCUAACCAGAAAGCCACGGCUAACUACGUGCCAGCAGCCGCGGUAAUACGUAGGUGGCAAGCGAUAUCCGGAUUUAUUGGGCGUAAAGGGAACGCAGGCGGUGUUUUAAGUCUGAUGUGAAAGUCUUCGGCUUAACCGGAGUAG